This 468-nucleotide ribosomal RNA is filed under the name uncultured Alphaproteobacteria bacterium. RNAcentral's name for it is "bacterial SSU rRNA". It matches the Rfam family "Bacterial small subunit ribosomal RNA", at positions 9 to 521 of the family's 1533-position model. The record is from RNAcentral. Lineage: Bacteria; Pseudomonadati; Pseudomonadota; Alphaproteobacteria.
GAGUUUGAUCGUGGCUCAGAACGAACGCUGGCGGCAUGCCUAACACAUGCAAGUCGAACGCGUGUAGCAAUACACGAGUGGCGGACGGGUGAGUAACGCGUGGGAACCUGCCCAAUGGUAGGGAAUAACUGCGGGAAACUGCAGCUAAUACCCUAUGCUCCCUACGGGGGAAAGAUUUAUCGCCAUUGGAGGGGCCCGCGUCGGAUUAGCUAGUUGGUAGGGUAACGGCCUACCAAGGCAACGAUCCGUAGCUGGUCUGAGAGGAUGAUCAGCCACACUGGGACUGAGAUACGGCCCAGAUUCCUACGGGAGGCAGCAGUGGGGAGUAUUGGACAAUGGGGGAAACCCUGAUCCAGCAAUGCCGCGUGAGUGAAGAAGGCCUUAGGGUUGUAAAGCUCUUUCGGCGGGGACGAUGGUGACGGUACCCGCAGAAGAAGCCCCGGCUAACUUCGUGCCAGCCGCCGCCGU